RNAcentral lists this ribosomal RNA (392 nucleotides) under uncultured Pelotomaculum sp. Its description in RNAcentral is "bacterial SSU rRNA". It matches the Rfam family "Bacterial small subunit ribosomal RNA", at positions 992 to 1382 of the family's 1533-position model. Lineage: Bacteria; Bacillati; Bacillota; Clostridia; Eubacteriales; Desulfotomaculaceae. The record is from RNAcentral.
UGACCGCGUAUGAAAGUACGUUUUCACCCUCGGGUGACAGGGAGACAGGUGGUGCAUGGUUGUCGUCAGCUCGUGUCGUGAGAUGUUGGGUUAAGUCCCGCAACGAGCGCAACCCCUACGUUUAGUUGCUAACAGGUGAAGCUGAGCACUCUAGACGAACUGCCGUUGACAAAACGGAGGAAGGUGGGAUGACGUCAAAUCAUCAUGCCCCUUAUGUUCUGGGCUACACACGUGCUACAAUGGCCGGUACAGACGGAGGCGAAGCCGCGAGGCGGAGCAAAUCCGAAAAAGCCGGUCUCAGUUCGGAUUGCAGGCUGCAAUUCGCCUGCAUGAAGUCGGAAUCGCUAGUAAUCGCAGGUCAGCAUACUGCGGUGAAUACGUUCCCGGGCCUU